CCACUCGUCGCUCGACGAAAUCAACGACGUCCAAGACGCUGCAUUUUGGACAAUGGAACGAUGCAAGUUAACGGACGAGGAUUAUUUAUUCCUGAAGUGAUUAUCGGCCAUUGUUGAAGUAUCAAUCGUGAGGUAACACUGGAUUAUCACUGAGAGAGAAAACGAAAGAGAAUACGUCGAUAAAAUGACGAACGAGUCUUUCUCUAAAAGAGGCAAACUUUGAAACUGAAUAUUUUAUUGUCGACUAUUCUUCCUUCAUCAUUUUUAAUCAAUUAGCUUUCUUUCCUUUAUUCUCUUUAAGCCAUUUCUACGAAUCUCGAUAUAUCACUCGUCGAACAAGUCGCCGCCGUUAAUACUUCGUAAAAGAAUACACGCGUUCUUUCGUUUGAAACUACACUCGAAAGCAUCCAGUGUCGCACCCUGGCGACUAGUAGCGGCAACUAGACGGCCGCCAUUCGAGCUGUAACGGUCGAAUCUCCGUGGGCUCCUUGUAACUUACGACGUCGCGGCGCAGAAAGACAAUGGCACGGUCGAGACUUGCGUCACGUUCCACGUGCACGCGUUACCGCCCUUUGAUAAGUAAUAACGUAAAUACAUAUAGAGGGGAUGAUAUUCUAAUCUUCGAGAUAACAGAAAGCCUCGGCGUGGUCGGAGAAAAAAUGAUUGAGGUAGUGAAGUAAGGUUAUAAAUAAUCGCAAGAGUAUACGCUCGCCAGUUUAUCGCGUAAUAAAAGUACAAGAGGAGUAAACUCAGCUGAGAUGAACAAGGAAGCAAAACCAUAUGCAACAAUGGCGGACGUGAAUAUCGCCAAGUCGACAAACGUAAAGGACAGGUAAAAAUUCAUGAAAUCAUUUUUGACGUCUCGUUUUCUCCAUCUGGAUUUGUGUGUAUGUGUUCCUGAGGACGUUGUCCGGUAAGCCUCUGGGGUAUUGGUUAGCAAGAGUAUACACGAGGGGUGCAUAAAAUCAUUUAACAGAAGAGGGUGGAGAGUGAAUCCAGGAUGUAUAACAAUACGGUAUACAGGAAGAGAGGAAGAGAGCGUGUUGCUGGUGUAUAAGCAUAAAGGGUGAGUUGGACGUACACUCGUUAACCUAGAAAACGACGGCAAAAGCAGGACUGACUGACUGACUGACUGUGGUUACCUUGCUAUUCGCUCGAGUAGUUACUAACCAAUCUUACAAGAGUAUUCUAGGUUAGGUUGGCAUACUGCGAUGCAAACGAUCCGGCCAUUCUGAUAAUCAUCGUAUUGGAAAUGGCUUUGAAAUCAAGGCGUAACUGUACGUACGUGCUGUAUAUAAACUAUUGAGAAUCGGUUGUCUGUCGUUUCUACCCUGCCGAAGAUCAGUAGAAUCAGUGGUAAAGGUUGUCUCAGUUAUAUUCCACUAUGCUGACAGAAAGAAAACGUUCGUCGACCUCUGAUUUGCCAUCAUGAACGACGAGAUUAAUUCAAUCACCCAUUUUCCCACUGGACAGCGAUUAAGCGCAAGUUACAAGUAAUAUCAUGUACCUUCAAAAAAAAAAUGCAUAUCCUCCUGAAUUAUGUUCCAAAUUUUUCUAGAGACUUUACGAAGGCAGAGGAAAUAAGAUGCUUGGCAGAAUUGUUUGUCGACGAAACCCAUAAGUAAUUAGCGAGGAUCGAUCCUGGAGGCUUUCUAAAGUGUCUCUUAGAGAGAGAGAGAGAGAGAGAGAGACGCCCAUGUACGUAUAUAUAUGUAUCUAUGCACAUACAGCGUCCCCGAUGGUUGUUACAUAGUCCGUAGGUUGGCAGACCUGCCCUAUGAAUCAUCGCAGUAUCCCGACAGCCGAAUGAUCACCCAGCGUACACGAAUGGAAUGGAAGCUCACGCGGCAUUUCGUUGUGCCUGAGUCAGAGGGAAAAUGGCCGUGUUAUUAAAUCGAUCGGUGCCUCUGGACAGAGCUCGUUCGCCGACCGAAGAAAAGAGAAGAGUAGGAGAAAUAGAGAGGAAAGUAAAAAAUACCAAAAAAAAAAUAACAAGUACCUAUCUUCGCGAGAUGAUUAAACUGCGGUUUGCUCGGCCGGUAAUGCAGAGAGGUAUAUCGUUACUCAAAAUUGCAACUGACUCUAUAUAAUUAGACAAGGCCAAGGAUGACCUCGAUUGAUAGUCAAAAAUUGAGUCUGCAUAGCCGACAGUAGAGGAGACGCUCGUCUCGUGCGAGCGUUAACCGAUCAUGAAAAGAAAAAGAAAAAUGCGUGCCGUGAUCUGCGCGAGGGAUCUCGGCAGAGUCCGCGACACGAACGUGGCUGGUCGGUAGGAGAAAAUAGCCUGGCAAUGGCGGCUGAGGAGGAGGAGAGCAGCAGCAGCAGGAGAGUAGAGAAAAAGGAAGCCUACAAAGACGAGUUAGAAGAUUCGUGGCAUACACAGGCUAUAUGCCCUGAUGGUAAAACAGUUCGGACGUUAGUCCUGCACCUGUGUGCGAGUAUUCGGCCAAGGCAAUGAUUCAUGGCGUGGAAGGAGCCUGAGUGGGAGAGCGAUGGAGGGAACGCCGAGGAGAUCGAUGCUAACGUAUAACGAGAAGUGUAACCUAGCGUUACUGGAUGCACUUGAAGUAGGCGUUCAGAAAGACCGUGUGAAUUUACUCAGAGAGAGAGGGGGAUUUUAAGAUAGUCGUAUCGAUACGAUAAUAUACAGUGCAACACAGGUACUACACAGAGAAAGGACUAUUGAGAAAAAUUUUCAGUUAUACUCCAACCGAAAGUUGGGGGGAGAAAGUGAAUGGCUUCACGAAUUGGAAUGCCCCGUAAGAAAAGAAGGAAAAGACCAGAUAAGAAAAUUGGCGCGUUCCCAAAUCGGAUUAAUUCGGUUCGCGUUUGGAGACCACGUCGCCAUGGCGGCUACAGCAUGGACGCUUCCUUGCACCGUUCGACGAAACAACAUUUUGACUCAAUCCUAGCCCAAGUAGGUGGGUUCUGUACACCCCGAUUGAAUUAACAGUGAAUAAUUCAUGAAUACUGAAUACGUACAGUAUCCAUUCGAUCUCGUGAUAUUCCACGGAUCUGCGUCCGACAUAUUUGGACCUGGUAUCGAAGCUGAAUUUUACAUAUAUAGACAUACAUUAGAUGCAUCCUUCAUCCGUGGCAGGAUGAGGCGUCACAGACUGUAAUCUCUGAUCCAAAGAAUUCUUAUUCAUCCAAUACCAAUCCGGCUGGACGAACCUGCUGGACCGACCAGACUUCACCAUGGAGCAGCGCCCUUCUUUGUUGCUUAAGCCUUAAGCUAUUCUGCGCCAGUCCGCAGCGGCUCAAGGCUGCCAGGAACCACUUGCCAACGGAAGACAACAGCCCAAACCGCAGAUGCCCGGGAUACAGUUCGUACCAAGUAGAUCCCCGUGGCAGCUGGGGACUUCGAUUGCCACAAAACUCUUCGUGUUUCCUCGAGAUCCACUGCCAACGAUAUUCGCCAUCGCUAGCCAGCCAUUUCCACGCUUCAGGGUCAAUAAUUUCAAACCACUUUCCAGAACACGAAGGCACGUACCACUGUUUGGACGGACUUGACCAAUCUCCGGAAUGCCCAGGAAUACCCCGUACACACCGACAAACCAGUCUGAGCUCCCAUCCAGAGGUCCUGUAUCAGCACUAGCAAAGCUACACGACGCGUACAGUCAAUUAGUACGUUCGUCCACGUAUACGGUAGAUCUACAGGCACGCACGCCGAAUUACAAGACCGAUAGAAAGCAAAGUGAUAACGAAUAACUAUUAAUAAUAAAGCAAGAGAAAAAUGAUAUCCGCGUCAAAAGACUUUUAGACCCGACGAUAUUCUCCUCGGGAGAACCGGACGACGACCCUCGGCCAGGAGUUCGCACUCCCCGGACCACGGGGCCUGGAUACGAGCAAGGGGGAUCCUCGGGAAAGACGAGCGGCAGCUUCGUACGUACGAGCUACGAGAAUAUAAGGAAACAAAAAAAAAAGGAGAUGCCGCCCCGGGACAAGAACUCGAGACGAGGUUCUCUGCAUUCCGGACUCGGCGGUUCGAUUGCUCCUCUUGGUUCGCGUGAAGUGAAACCCGGACUGUACGUCGUUCCACGUUCCAGCGUUCCCUCGUUCAGAGAUUUACCCACGCUCGCCAAAGGUGCACGCAUCGUGCUGACCCAAUUUACGACAUAACGUAAAACUCUCCUACGUCAGAUAUGUACGUGUUCAUAUAUAUGUCUAUGGAACGAGACGUUACGUAAUCCAUAAGCGCUAUAUGGGAAUACGAAUGAGUUGAUCUUUAAGAAAAGCCACAAUCCGUCUUUUUCUUUUUGUUCCCUUACGGGCGCGAUACAACCGGUGCAGAUAAAUUAUCGUUGCCGAGCUUGCUGCACGCUAAGAGGCAUUAUACGUGUUACGUAUCCUGGUCCUCGGGUAGGAGGAUAAAAAUGAAAUCCUUUGACAAGUCUGACGCGUCCAGGGCAAUUUCAUUUCAAAGUAAUCAACGUGGUACGAAAAAAAAAAGG
Long non-coding RNA from Cephus cinctus (wheat stem sawfly), 4454 nucleotides. RefSeq lists it as uncharacterized. NCBI's taxonomy places the organism in Eukaryota, Metazoa, Arthropoda, Insecta, Hymenoptera, Cephidae. The transcript is spliced from 6 exons. The record is from RefSeq and is a predicted model, not a curated record.